AGGCAGCAGUUGGGAAUCUUCCACAAUGGACGCAAGUCUGAUGGAGCAACGCCGCGUGAGUGAAGAAGGGUUUCGGCUCGUAAAGCUCUGUUGUUGGUGAAGAAGGACAGGGGUAGUAACUGACCUUUGUUUGACGGUAAUCAAUUAGAAAGUCACGGCUAACUACGUGCCAGCAGCCGCGGUAAUACGUAGGUGGCAAGCGUUGUCCGGAUUUAUUGGGUGUAAAGCGAGUGCAGGCGGCUCGAUAAGUCUGAUGUGAAAGCCUUCGGCUCAACCGGAGAAUUGCAUCAGAAACUGUCGAGCUUGAGUACAGAAGAGGAGAGUGGAACUCCAUGUGUAGCGGUGAAAUGCGUAGAUAUAUAGAAGAACACCGGUGGCGAAGGCGGCUCUCUGGUCUGUUACUGACGCUGAGGCUCGAAAGCAUGGGUAGCGAACAGGAUUAGAUACCCUAGUAGUCC
RNAcentral lists this ribosomal RNA (458 nucleotides) under uncultured bacterium. RNAcentral describes it as "bacterial SSU rRNA". It matches the Rfam family "Bacterial small subunit ribosomal RNA", at positions 346 to 796 of the family's 1533-position model. The record is from RNAcentral.